Molecule: non-coding RNA, 392 nt
Organism: Schizosaccharomyces pombe (fission yeast)
Lineage: Eukaryota; Fungi; Ascomycota; Schizosaccharomycetes; Schizosaccharomycetales; Schizosaccharomycetaceae
Source: the annotation of a GenBank genome assembly
UACAGAACAGGUAUAUCAUAAACAUUCUUUAAAGUCUAGUAAGUAGUCUACAGGGAAGGUGAAACGCAUUUUUGUGCCAUAGAAUAGUAUAAAUUUAUUCUUAGACAUUGUAAUUAGACUGCUAUAUAAGAUACUGAAAGCAUCCGGAACAAGUACUGUGUUUUUAAGUCGAACUGUUAAACUCCUUGACAAUUUGAGCUACUUUAAUCAUCUAUUAAAAACAAAUUUUAAAAUGCAACGUUAACCCUUUGGUACUAAAAGAUACCAUGUAAAAAAUGUAUAAUCCAAUAAAUUUAAAGGAUAUGCUAGCAAUGUAUAUGAAUACCAAUUGUGUAUAACAGAAUGGAUUUAAUAUCUGUAAAAACUGAAUGAUACCUUUUUUAAAGUAAGAG